This 453-nucleotide ribosomal RNA is filed under the name uncultured Polaromonas sp. RNAcentral's name for it is "bacterial SSU rRNA". It matches the Rfam family "Bacterial small subunit ribosomal RNA", at positions 927 to 1382 of the family's 1533-position model. Lineage: Bacteria; Pseudomonadati; Pseudomonadota; Betaproteobacteria; Burkholderiales; Comamonadaceae. The record is from RNAcentral.
AAGCGGUGGAUGAUGUGGUUAAUUCGAUGCAACGCGAAAACCUUACCCACCUUUGACAUGUACGGAACUCGCCAGAGAUGGCUUGGUGCUCGAAAGAGAACCGUAACACAGGUGCUGCAUGGCUGUCGUCAGCUCGUGUCGUGAGAUGUUGGGUUAAGUCCCGCAACGAGCGCAACCCUUGUCAUUAGUUGCUACAUUCAGUUGGGCACUCUAAUGAGACUGCCGGUGACAAACCGGAGGAAGGUGGGGAUGACGUCAAGUCCUCAUGGCCCUUAUAGGUGGGGCUACACACGUCAUACAAUGGAUGGUACAAAGGGUCGCCAACCCGCGAGGGGGAGCCAAUCCCAUAAAGCCAUUCGUAGUCCGGAUCGCAGUCUGCAACUCGACUGCGUGAAGUCGGAAUCGCUAGUAAUCGUAGAUCAGAAUGUCACGGUGAAUACGUUCCCGGGUCUU